Molecule: small RNA, 101 nt
Filed under: Mytilus galloprovincialis (Mediterranean mussel)
Lineage: Eukaryota; Metazoa; Mollusca; Bivalvia; Mytilida; Mytilidae
Source: RNAcentral
GUUUGAACAACUUAGCUAACUUGUUAAAACGACGUAGCUAAUUUAAAUCGUUAUAACAACUUAGCUAAGUCGUUAUAACAAGUUAGCUAAGUUGUUUAAAC